GCCCCCGUAAUCCAACACGGCAGAGAUAGCGGUCUCAAACACCGUCCAGUGUGGGUUCGAAUCCCACCGGGGGCA
RNAcentral lists this transfer RNA (75 nucleotides) under Actinomycetota bacterium. Its description in RNAcentral is "tRNA-Leu". It matches the Rfam family "tRNA". Rfam says of the family: Transfer RNA (tRNA) molecules are approximately 80 nucleotides in length. The record is from RNAcentral. RNAcentral also lists the same sequence under 1 other name. Lineage: Bacteria; Bacillati; Actinomycetota.